UGGGGAAUUUUGGACAAUGGGCGAAAGCCUGAUCCAGCAAUGCCGCGUGUGUGAAGAAGGCCUUCGGGUUGUAAAGCACUUUUGUCCGGAAAGAAAUCCUUGGCUCUAAUACAGUCGGGGGAUGACGGUACCGGAAGAAUAAGCACCGGCUAACUACGUGCCAGCAGCCGCGGUAAUACGUAGGGUGCAAGCGUUAAUCGGAAUUACUGGGCGUAAAGCGUGCGCAGGCGGUUUGCUAAGACCGAUGUGAAAUCCCCGGGCUCAACCUGGGAACUGCAUUGGCGACUGGCAGGCUAGAGUAUGGCAGAGGGGGUAGAAUUCCACGUGUAGCAGUGAAAUGCGUAGAGAUGUGGAGGAAUACCGAUGGCGAAGGCAGCCCCUGGGCCAAUACUGACGCUCAUGCACGAAAGCGUGGGGAGCAAACAGGAUUAGAUACCCUGGUAGUCCACGCCCUAAACGAUGUCAACUAGUUGUUGGGGAUUCAUUUCCUUAGUAACGUAGCUAACGCGUGAAGUUGACCGCCUGGGGAGUACGGUCGCAAGAUUAAAACUCAAAGGAAUUGACGGGGUCAUAGCUGUUUCCU
RNAcentral lists this ribosomal RNA (583 nucleotides) under uncultured bacterium. Its description in RNAcentral is "partial 16S ribosomal RNA". It matches the Rfam family "Bacterial small subunit ribosomal RNA", at positions 355 to 1375 of the family's 1533-position model. The record is from RNAcentral.